RNAcentral lists this ribosomal RNA (429 nucleotides) under Actinomycetes bacterium. RNAcentral describes it as "Actinobacteria bacterium partial 16S ribosomal RNA". It matches the Rfam family "Bacterial small subunit ribosomal RNA", at positions 355 to 776 of the family's 1533-position model. The record is from RNAcentral. Lineage: Bacteria; Bacillati; Actinomycetota; Actinomycetes.
UAGGGAAUCUUCCGCAAUGGGCGAAAGCCUGACGGAGCAACGCCGCGUGUGUGAUGAAGGUCUUCGGAUCGUAAAACUCUGUUAUUAGGGAAGAACAAAUGUGUAAGUAACUAUGCACGUCUUGACGGUACCUAAUCAGAAAGCCACGGCUAACUACGUGCCAGCAGCCGCGGUAAUACGUAGGUGGCAAGCGUUAUCCGGAAUUAUUGGGCGUAAAGCGCGCGUAGGCGGUUUUUUAAGUCUGAUGUGAAAGCCCACGGCUCAACCGUGGAGGGUCAUUGGAAACUGGAAAACUUGAGUGCAGAAGAGGAAAGUGGAAUUCCAUGUGUAGCGGUGAAAUGCGCAGAGAUAUGGAGGAACACCAGUGGCGAAGGCGACUUUCUGGUCUGUAACUGACGCUGAUGUGCGAAAGCGGGGGGAUCAAACAGG